This is a long non-coding RNA of Sinocyclocheilus grahami, 313 nucleotides long. RefSeq lists it as uncharacterized. Lineage: Eukaryota; Metazoa; Chordata; Actinopteri; Cypriniformes; Cyprinidae. The record is from RefSeq and is a predicted model, not a curated record. The transcript has 3 exons.
CUAUGAUAUCCACACUCUGAGGUGUGCUCGUAAAGAUGUUUGUAUAUGCUGGAAGAAGAUCUUGCUUCAGCUGGGUUACCAGAAGGAGGCAGAUUCCUUACUGACAGUGAACAGACAGACGGUUCUGAGUGACUGGGAGAGGGGCCCGAGUCAACAUGCUGUUCAGGAGGCCCAGUAACUGUAGCGGUGCCCCUGGGGGGGUCUGCAUGGUUUUACUUCACACCAGCACAUAGAUCUCCUCACCAUGUGUGCUGAUAACUGCCAUUCUGUGCCUGUUUGACGACUCUCCACGGCUCUUUGGUCUGCCCCGGAA